This 83-nucleotide small nuclear RNA is filed under the name Octodon degus (degu). RNAcentral's name for it is "U4 spliceosomal RNA (ENSODEG00000025776.1)". It matches the Rfam family "U4 spliceosomal RNA". From Rfam's summary of the family: U4 small nuclear RNA (U4 snRNA) is a component of the major U2-dependent spliceosome. The record is from RNAcentral. Lineage: Eukaryota; Metazoa; Chordata; Mammalia; Rodentia; Octodontidae.
AGCUUUGUGUAAUGGCAGUAUCAUAGCCAAGGAAAUUUAUUCAAGGCGUGAUUGUUGCUAAUUGAAAAAUUCUUCACUAUGUG